Molecule: ribosomal RNA, 578 nt
Filed under: uncultured bacterium
Lineage: Bacteria
Description: bacterial SSU rRNA
Rfam family: Bacterial small subunit ribosomal RNA
Source: RNAcentral
CCUACGGGAGGCAGCAGUAAGGAAUAUUGGUCAAUGGACGCAAGUCUGAACCAGCCAUGCCGCGUGAAGGAUGAAGGCCCUCUGGGUUGUAAACUUCUUUUAUCUGGGAAGAAAUCCACUGUUUCCACGGUGGUUGACGGUACCAGAGGAAUAAGCACCGGCUAACUCCGUGCCAGCAGCCGCGGUAAUACGGAGGGUGCAAGCGUUAUCCGGAUUUACUGGGUUUAAAGGGUGCGUAGGCGGGCUUUUAAGUCAGCGGUGAAAUCUCCGGGCUUAACUCGGAAAUUGCCGUUGAUACUAUUAGUCUUGAAUUAAGUUGAGGUGGGCGGAAUAUGUCAUGUAGCGGUGAAAUGCUUAGAUAUGACAUAGAACACCGAUUGCGAAGGCAGCUCGCUAAACUUAUAUUGACGCUGAGGCACGAAAGCGUGGGGAUCAAACAGGAUUAGAAACCCUGGUAGUCCACGCCCUAAACGAUGAUUACUCGAUCUUAGCGAUACACAGUUAGGGUCUAUGCAAAAGCAUUAAGUAAUCCACCUGGGGAGUACGACCGCAAGGUUGAAACUCAAAGGAAUUGACGG